Molecule: ribosomal RNA, 244 nt
Filed under: uncultured bacterium
Lineage: Bacteria
Description: partial 16S ribosomal RNA
Rfam family: Bacterial small subunit ribosomal RNA
Source: RNAcentral
AGGCAAGCGGAUCUCUUAAAGCUGUUCUCAGUUCGGACUGCAGUCUGCAACUCGACUGCACGAAGCUGGAAUCGCUAGUAAUCGCGGAUCAGCACGCCGCGGUGAAUACGUUCCCGGGCCUUGUACACACCGCCCGUCACACCAUGGAAGUCUGCAAUGCCCGAAGCCGGUGGCCUAACCACUUAUGUGGAAGGAGCCGUCUAAGGCAGGGCAGAUGACUGGGGUGAAGUCGUAACAAGGUAUC